CUUGAAAAAGUACCUUUGGGACAACUAUGACCUGGAUGACUGAGAAUCUCCAUAGACAAUAUACUGGAGACUACCUUGCCAAUAUUGCUUGGAAAGAAAUAGGCGUGGAUCCUGAUAUAUUUGCAUGACUAGGAAGAAAUCUGGACAGAACCAAG
Thamnophis sirtalis is the source of this 155-nucleotide non-coding RNA. The record is from RefSeq and is a predicted model, not a curated record. Lineage: Eukaryota; Metazoa; Chordata; Lepidosauria; Squamata; Natricidae.